AGAAGACAAUGUUCCAAACACAGA
This 24-nucleotide non-coding RNA is filed under the name Arabidopsis thaliana (thale cress). Lineage: Eukaryota; Viridiplantae; Streptophyta; Magnoliopsida; Brassicales; Brassicaceae. The record is from RNAcentral.